GACGAACGCUGGCGGCGUGCUUAACACAUGCAAGUCGAACGGAAAGGCCCUGCUUUUGUGGGGUGCUCGAGUGGCGAACGGGUGAGUAACACGUGAGUAACCUGCCCUUGACUUUGGGAUAACUUCAGGAAACUGGGGCUAAUACCGGAUAGGAGCUCCUGCUGCAUGGUGGGGGUUGGAAAGUUUCGGCGGUUGGGGAUGGACUCGCGGCUUAUCAGCUUGUUGGUGGGGUAGUGGCUUACCAAGGCUUUGACGGGUAGCCGGCCUGAGAGGGUGACCGGCCACAAUGGGACUGAGAUUCGGCCCAGACUCCUACGGGGGGCAGCAGUGGGGAAUAUUGCACAAUGGGCGGAAGCCUGAUGCAGCAACGCCGCGUGCGGGAUGACGGCCUUCGGGUUGUAAACCGCUUUCGCCUGUGACGAAGCGUGAGUGACGGUAAUGGGUAAAGAAGCACCGGCUAACUACGUG
Molecule: ribosomal RNA, 468 nt
Filed under: uncultured bacterium
Lineage: Bacteria
Description: partial 16S ribosomal RNA
Rfam family: Bacterial small subunit ribosomal RNA
Source: RNAcentral